UACGUAGGGCGCAAGCGUUGUCCGGAAUUAUUGGGCGUAAAGAGCUCGUAGGCGGUCUGUCGCGUCUGCUGUGAAAAUCCAGGGCUCAACCCUGGACCUGCAGUGGGUACGGGCAGACUAGAGUGCGGUAGGGGAGAUCGGAAUUCCUGGUGUAGCGGUGAAAUGCGCAGAUAUCAGGAGGAACACCGAUGGCGAAGGCAGGUCUCUGGGCAUUAACUGACGCUGAGGAGCGAAAGCAUGGGGAGCGAACAGG
This 253-nucleotide ribosomal RNA is filed under the name uncultured bacterium. RNAcentral's name for it is "partial 16S ribosomal RNA". It matches the Rfam family "Bacterial small subunit ribosomal RNA", at positions 524 to 776 of the family's 1533-position model. The record is from RNAcentral.